Pongo abelii (Sumatran orangutan) is the source of this 285-nucleotide unclassified non-coding RNA. It matches the Rfam family "Metazoan signal recognition particle RNA". From Rfam's summary of the family: The signal recognition particle (SRP) is a universally conserved ribonucleoprotein. It is involved in the co-translational targeting of proteins to membranes. NCBI's taxonomy places the organism in Eukaryota, Metazoa, Chordata, Mammalia, Primates, Hominidae. The record is from Ensembl.
GCCAGGAGUGGUGGCACUCACCUGUAAUCCCUACUACUUGGGAAGCUGAGGUGGGAAGAUUGCUUGAGCCCAGAAGUUCUGGGUUAUGAUGAUUGGGUGUCUGCACUAAGCUUGGCAUCAAUAUGGUGACCUCUUGGGAGUAGGGGACCACCAGGUUACCUAAGAAGAGGUGAACCAGCCCAGGUCGGAAACCAAGCAGGUCAAAACUCAUGGGCUGACCAGUGUAGUAAGAUCACCACUGUGAAAAACCACUGUAAUCUAGCCUGGGCAACACAGCGAGACCCU